CGUAUCACCCAAGACAACUUUACGGAGUUGACGAUUGACGGAGCGAAGCGACGUCAAAGCGUUCAUUAAAGUCGAGUUGGCUUAGGGAUACGUUCGUUGGGUAGGGGAGCGUUCUGUAAGCCUGUGAAGGUGUGUCGUGAGGCAUGCUGGAGGUAUCAGAAGUGCGAAUGCUGACAUAAGUAACGAUAAAGCGGGUGAAAAGCCCGCUCGCCGGAAGACCAAGGGUUCCUGUCCAACGUUAAUCGGGGCAGGGUGAGUCGACCCCUAAGGCGAGGCCGAAAGGCGUAGUCGAUGGGAAACGGGUUAAUAUUCCCGUACUUGGUGUUACUGCGAAGGGGGGACGGAGAAGGCUAUGUUGGCCGGGCGACGGUUGUCCCGGUUUAAGCGUGUAGGUGUGUGUUCCAGGUAAAUCCGGUUCACUUUAACACUGAGGCGUGACGACGAGGCACUACGGUGCUGAAGCAACAAAUGCCCUGCUUCCAGGAAAAGCCUCUAAGCAUCAGGUAACAUCAAAUCGUACCCCAAACCGACACAGGUGGUCAGGUAGAGAAUACCAAGGCGCUUGAGAGAACUCGGGUGAAGGAACUAGGCAAAAUGGUGCCGUAACUUCGGGAGAAGGCACGCUGACACGUAGGUGAAGUGAUUUACUCAUGGAGCUGAAGUCAGUCGAAGAUACCAGCUGGCUGCAACUGUUUAUUAAAAACACAGCACUGUGCAAACACGAAAGUGGACGUAUACGGUGUGACGCCUGCCCGGUGCCGGAAGGUUAAUUGAUGGGGUCAGCGCAAGCGAAGCUCCUGAUCGAAGCCCCGGUAAACGGCGGCCGUAACUAUAACGGUCCUAAGGUAGCGAAAUUCCUUGUCGGGUAAGUUCCGACCUGCACGAAUGGCGUAAUGAUGGCCAGGCUGUCUCCACCCGAGACUCAGUGAAAUUGAACUCGCUGUGAAGAUGCAGUGUACCCGCGGCAAGACGGAAAGACCCCGUGAACCUUUACUAUAGCUUGACACUGAACAUUGAGCCUUGAUGUGUAGGAUAGGUGGGAGGCUUUGAAGUGUGGACGCCAGUCUGCAUGGAGCCGACCUUGAAAUACCACCCUUUAAUGUUUGAUGUUCUAACGUGGACCCGUAAUCCGGGUUGCGGACAGUGUCUGGUGGGUAGUUUGACUGGGGCGGUCUCCUCCUAAAGAGUAACGGAGGAGCACGAAGGUUGGCUAAUCCUGGUCGGACAUCAGGAGGUUAGUGCAAUGGCAUAAGCCAGCUUGACUGCGAGCGUGACGGCGCGAGCAGGUGCGAAAGCAGGUCAUAGUGAUCCGGUGGUUCUGAAUGGAAGGGCCAUCGCUCAACGGAUAAAAGGUACUCCGGGGAUAACAGGCUGAUACCGCCCAAGAGUUCAUAUCGACGGCGGUGUUUGGCACCUCGAUGUCGGCUCAUCACAUCCUGGGGCUGAAGUAGGUCCCAAGGGUAUGGCUGUU
This 1471-nucleotide ribosomal RNA is filed under the name Salmonella enterica. RNAcentral's name for it is "partial 23S ribosomal RNA". It matches the Rfam family "Bacterial large subunit ribosomal RNA", at positions 1154 to 2581 of the family's 2925-position model. Lineage: Bacteria; Pseudomonadati; Pseudomonadota; Gammaproteobacteria; Enterobacterales; Enterobacteriaceae. The record is from RNAcentral.